Molecule: long non-coding RNA, 1049 nt
Organism: Lolium rigidum
Lineage: Eukaryota; Viridiplantae; Streptophyta; Magnoliopsida; Poales; Poaceae
Exons: 2
Source: RefSeq, a predicted model, not a curated record
UGUUGUUCUAUAUGCAGGUGAUUGGAUUGCCUGCCAAACACUCCAUAUAAUUUCCCAACCAAGGUGAUUGGAUUGCCUGCCAAACACUCCAUAUAAUUUCCCACCAAGGAGCCUAACGCAGGUUAGGUUAUUUUCUUCUUUAAGGUCAAUCUACCAUUCAAUUGCUUGCAUCCGUCCCAGGUUCCAUGGAUUUGAUCGAGACAUCAUUUGUGUAUGUAACUAAGCGAAUGCAGAAUGAAGUUUCAUAAAUACGACAAGCGAUCACAACAUGAAGCUAUGAUUGGGAUUAAGCUUUAUGUUUUGUUCUGUUGUUUCAGAAUUGCUUAUCGUUGCAGAUUAAUUUCAUGCAUAGUUUGACCCCAAGAAAAGAAGUUUUAAACUUAUAAUACCUGCAGAUCAUAUUGAGGAAUACAACAGCGACAAGAAAAAAACUCUUCUAUGUGUACUGCAUUUUAAGUCGACUGCAUGUGCAAAACCAUUCGUGUUCGGGCAUGAGGUCUGCUGAUGUUAAGCUGCAUCUUUUUUUUGUGCAGCAAGGUAUUAACUGUUAUCUUGCAUAUACAGGAUCCAUCAUACACAAUGCAGUUAUUGUCUUCCCGAACUCAUGUUACUUUUUAGAAAAUAAUAUUUUUCUUCAGAACAUUAGUCCAAGUAGUCCUUUUACAAGUAUAGGCAUCUUUUUAAUGGAGAUAGUUUUAUUUCCUAAGAAAAUAUACAUAGUGUAUUCUCACUACAGGUUGCCUUUGUUUUGCUUCAGCAAUGGUCAGCAAUGUGGUAACCGAGCCCAUACAAGGAGAAUUGAGUUGCGGAUAAUGUUGAGACACCAUGCUUUGCAGAUUAAAAGAUGGGAGCUUGCUAUAUGAUCAGAGACAACAAUUAGAUUACGAGAGUAAAAAUUAUCGUAUUUCAUGGAUCUAGGGUAUUCACUUGAGUAUGUAACCAUUUUUUAAAUCUGCUCUACGGACAUGGUUUUUACCAUUUUUUAAAUCUGACAUGGUUUUUAAGGUAACUGGUUCUUUUUGCAAAUAUAUAGCAAUGCAAAUUAGCCU